GUUAAAUCAAUUAUAUUGAAAAUCUUUUGGCAGAACAUUAAGAGGCUUUUAGUGGCUUACGAAAUGGAAUACUCUGCUAAGCAAGUGAUAAAUUAAUAGCUAAAUUACUUGAAAUGCAUUACCGCAGUCUGAAAUAGAUUUUCAUAAAGUAUCCAUGAGUCAGCUCAUAAGUUAAACUCCCCAACCAAGUGGCAUUUAUUUUGUUGGUCACUCGCUGGCGCUUAUUUGCUGUGAACCUGUUACAGAGUUGGGCUCAAGUGGAGACCAUGGCGGUGGCAUUCCUGAGCCUGGCAUGCCCAAAGACGAAGCCGCACCCGCAAACGCUUUCCAUCUCGAUCGGAUUCGGAUUCUCUAUUAUCCAAUAUCCAUUCUCCUCUUGCGAUCUGGGAAAUACGUUGAUCUAGGCGAGAGAGGGAGAGAGAGAUCAAUUAAGACAGGUGAUUGCCUGGCCAGCAAUUAAAUUCUUGACGGGCUCUAAUGUAUGUCCAUAGUGUUUAUUGCCAAUGACUGACUGAAUUCAAUUGAAAUGUCUAUAUCCGACUCUUACCUCAGCGGUGCCAGGUGGCAGUGGCGAUUCGAGGGGGCCUUCGAAAGGAAAACCGGACACCUCACGAUCCAGUUGAAUCCAGUAAGCCGCCAGCGGUAUUCUGGCCACCGUGUCGGAUACGCGAUUUCUGAAGAUCAGAGAUGGCCAAGGAAAACGCAGCUUAAUAGUGGGUGGUAAUGGGUGGUGCCUUCAUUAUGGAGCGUAGAUGAAAUGUCAACGACUUGUGACAAAUUAAAAGUGCAACGUCAGCGAGCAGGAAAUGAUCUUGGAGUAGCGAACCCAAUGGGCUGAAUGCCCUCGAUAGGGAAUUUCAAUUCCAAUUUCCAAGGAAAUCAGGUGCACCUGUUAUACCCUACGUUUAAAGCAAUCAAAAAUUGGUCUUUUUCCAGUGAAAGCAAAUUGU
Molecule: long non-coding RNA, 950 nt
Organism: Drosophila santomea
Lineage: Eukaryota; Metazoa; Arthropoda; Insecta; Diptera; Drosophilidae
Exons: 3
Source: RefSeq, a predicted model, not a curated record